CUGCCAGCUCUCAUGAUGACCCUUGUGCCUCUGAGCUGCCAUGAUUCUGGCUUCAAAGUAAACGCUCUGAAGAGAUAGGCAGUGGUC
Bison bison bison is the source of this 87-nucleotide small nucleolar RNA. Ensembl annotates it as small nucleolar RNA, C/D box 105. Its record names the gene SNORD105. The record is from Ensembl. NCBI's taxonomy places the organism in Eukaryota, Metazoa, Chordata, Mammalia, Artiodactyla, Bovidae.